Molecule: transfer RNA, 72 nt
Organism: Camelus ferus (Wild Bactrian camel)
Lineage: Eukaryota; Metazoa; Chordata; Mammalia; Artiodactyla; Camelidae
Rfam family: tRNA
About the family: Transfer RNA (tRNA) molecules are approximately 80 nucleotides in length. Their secondary structure includes four short double-helical elements and three loops (D, anti-codon, and T loops).
Source: Rfam
GAAGAUGUAGCUCAGUGGAAGAGCACUUGCUUAGCAUGCAUAAGGUCCUGGAUUCAAUCCCCAGUACCUCCA